RNAcentral lists this ribosomal RNA (775 nucleotides) under uncultured Neocallimastigales. RNAcentral describes it as "partial large subunit ribosomal RNA". It matches the Rfam family "Eukaryotic large subunit ribosomal RNA", at positions 24 to 635 of the family's 3401-position model. Lineage: Eukaryota; Fungi; Neocallimastigomycota; Neocallimastigomycetes; Neocallimastigales. The record is from RNAcentral.
UAUGUGAUCGUCUCUCGCAUAUCAAUAAGCGGAGGAAAAGAAACUGACAAGGAUUCCCCUAGUAACGGCGAGUGAAGCGGGAAGAGCUCAAAUUUGAAAUCUUAAAGGGUUUCCCUUUACGAAUUGUAGUUUAAAGAAGUGUUUUCUGUUGAGGUUUUGGUAAAAGUUCUUUGGAAUAGGACAUCAUAGAGGGUGAGAAAUCCCGUAUUUGACCUUUACUUUCAACUUUGUGAUACACUUUCAAAGAGUCGGAUUGUUUGGGAAUGCAGUCCAAAAUGGGUGGUAAAUUUCAUCUAAAGCUAAAUAUUGGCGAGAGACCGAUAGCGAACAAGUACCGUGAGGGAAAGAUGAAAAGAACUUUGAAAAGAGAGUUAAACAGUACGUGAAAUUGUCAAAAGGGAAGCGUUUGACACCAGUGUUGUUUUUCUGAAAAUCAAUUAAAGAACUGUUUAUGCUAAGCUGUUUAGACUUUAUCAGCUAACUGUUUAGUUUUGAGCUUUUCUUUAAUGCACUUUUCAGUUAACAAGUCAACAUCAAUUUCUUUUGCUGUAAAAAAGCUUGAGGAAGGUGGCUUGAGAUUCGUCUUAAGUGUUUAUAGCCUCUUGCCUAUGCAGUCGGAGAGAUUGAGGUCUGCAGCGUAGAUCCUUCGGGGCUAAAUGCAUUUGUGCUAAGUUAUAGCAUUUUAUAGACAACUUGUUGACUAUGAUUUGUCUUGUAGCUUACUCGCUUAUGUUAUUUUACCUACGCUUAGGAUGUUGAUCUACAGAGCGAGAGU